Molecule: transfer RNA, 85 nt
Filed under: Candidatus Methanovirga basalitermitum
Lineage: Archaea; Methanobacteriati; Methanobacteriota; Methanobacteria; Methanobacteriales; Methanobacteriaceae
Description: tRNA-Ser
Rfam family: tRNA
About the family: Transfer RNA (tRNA) molecules are approximately 80 nucleotides in length. Their secondary structure includes four short double-helical elements and three loops (D, anti-codon, and T loops).
Source: RNAcentral
GCCGGGAUAGUCUAGCUUGGUAAGGCGCAAGACUGGAAAUCUUGUGAGGAUUGUCCUCGCCUGGGUUCAAAUCCCAGUCCCGGCG